AUGUUUACAAGAGGAAGAAGAAGGAGAAGGAGAAGGAGAAGGAGAAGGAGAAGGAGAAGGAGAAGGAGAAGGAGAAGGAGAAGGAGAACAAGGAGGAGAACAAGGAGGAGAACAAGGAGGAGAAUGAGGAGGAGAAGGAGGAGAAGGAGGAGAAGGAGGAAGAGGAGUGGGAGAAGAAGGAACUUACAAAAAAGGCCUUUUCUGGUAUAAAAAUAUCUUCUGGGAGGAAAGGGGGGAUCUCUCCAUGAUGCUUUGAAGAUGGAUGGAAAGGAGAAAAAGCAGCUGUUCUUGAGGUGCAAUAUGGAAAGAACUGACCCCUUCAUCCAAAAUUACAUAUGCCUAUCAUACAGUGUUGUAAAUCUAAAUGGCAACAUCAAAUGCAUGCCAUUGGGGUUGUAGCAAAGCUCCAUCUAUCAAAAACAAAGACUUUUUAAUGAGGCAUUUACUACAAAAGAACAUUUAAGUUCAAGUUCAAUUGCUUCCUUGCUAGUGUAUCCUAAGAGAGUGCUGCUUCACCUGGCUGCUGGGUUGCUGAUAAAUACCUGCUGGUCCACUGAAAUGAUUAUGAUGUUGCUCCAUCCAGCAAUGGAAAUUCAUCAAAUAUAAAUUGAUGACAUAUUUAUAGCACAUGUGUGUUUAUGGAGAGGCACUGAAGCUGGUUCCCUAAUGAAACUGACUUACUGGCUGGAGUGGCUGACAUUCCUUUGUGCUGCUCUUCAGGUGUUCUCCUGCUAAGCUCUGCUCCUUUUCCUAUCUCUGGGUCUUAAUAAGCUGCAAAAUUAUUGCUUCUAUAUUGUUUUCUGGAUCAUCUAACCACUCUGCUGCUAGGGCUCUUGAUAAGAAUAUAUCUGCUUUGUAGGCAAGAUGCAGUUAAGUAAUAUUUCUCUUUCAUUUUAGUCCAGAUAUACAACAUUUCUGGCUAUUGCUCAUUUUAGUGAUGCUUUUUAUAUUGCAGUGGCAUUGACUGAAUUUCUUUUUGUUACUUUUUUGUCAUCACAAUAAACCAACAGUAAAUGGAGGAUGGAUGAAUGAG
This 1033-nucleotide long non-coding RNA is filed under the name Anas platyrhynchos platyrhynchos (common mallard). RNAcentral describes it as "lncRNA (ENSAPLG00000027293.1)". The record is from RNAcentral. Lineage: Eukaryota; Metazoa; Chordata; Aves; Anseriformes; Anatidae.